RNAcentral lists this ribosomal RNA (742 nucleotides) under uncultured Acinetobacter sp. Its description in RNAcentral is "bacterial SSU rRNA". It matches the Rfam family "Bacterial small subunit ribosomal RNA", at positions 55 to 791 of the family's 1533-position model. The record is from RNAcentral. Lineage: Bacteria; Pseudomonadati; Pseudomonadota; Gammaproteobacteria; Moraxellales; Moraxellaceae.
AUGCAAGUCGAGCGGAGNGAGGUGCUUGCACCUUAUCUUAGCGGCGGACGGGUGAGUAAUGCUUAGGAAUCUGCCUAUUAGUGGGGGACAACAUUCCGAAAGGAAUGCUAAUACCGCAUACGUCCUACGGGAGAAAGCAGGGGAUCUUCGGACCUUGCGCUAAUAGAUGAGCCUAAGUCGGAUUAGCUAGUUGGUGGGGUAAAGGCCUACCAAGGCGACGAUCUGUAGCGGGUCUGAGAGGAUGAUCCGCCACACUGGGACUGAGACACGGCCCAGACUCCUACGGGAGGCAGCAGUGGGGAAUAUUGGACAAUGGGGGGAACCCUGAUCCAGCCAUGCCGCGUGUGUGAAGAAGGCCUUAUGGUUGUAAAGCACUUUAAGCGAGGAGGAGGCUACUGAGACUAAUACUCUUGGAUAGUGGACGUUACUCGCAGAAUAAGCACCGGCUAACUCUGUGCCAGCAGCCGCGGUAAUACAGAGGGUGCGAGCGUUAAUCGGAUUUACUGGGCGUAAAGCGUGCGUAGGCGGCUUUUUAAGUCGGAUGUGAAAUCCCCCGAGCUUAACUUGGGAAUUGCAUUCGAUACUGGGAAGCUAGAGUAUGGGAGAGGAUGGUAGAAUUCCAGGUGUAGCGGUGAAAUGCGUAGAGAUCUGGAGGAAUACCGAUGGCGAAGGCAGCCAUCUGGCCUAAUACUGACGCUGAGGUACGAAAGCAUGGGGAGCAAACAGGGUUAGAUACCCUGGU